RNAcentral lists this unclassified non-coding RNA (309 nucleotides) under Chytridiomycota sp. RNAcentral's name for it is "partial contains small subunit ribosomal RNA, internal transcribed spacer 1, and 5.8S ribosomal RNA". The stretch from base 1 to 47 matches the Rfam family "Eukaryotic small subunit ribosomal RNA", at positions 1785 to 1831 of the family's 1831-position model. Lineage: Eukaryota; Fungi; Chytridiomycota. The record is from RNAcentral.
AAAGUCGUAACAAGGUAACCGUAGGUGAACCUGCGGUUGGAUCAUUAUCACGUUCCACACGUUAUCAACCAACGCGAAAAACCCUUUUUUUUCUUGUCCUCGGACUCGAUUUUUUUAUCAAAUCAAUUUUUGCAAUGCAUUCAGUUGCGUUGCAGAGAGAGGUUGGAUUAACAAAACUUGAUUUACUAUCAACACCCUUUUUAUAUUUAUGUACUGAACUUGUUUCUUUCUCAUUCAUUUAUUUGAAAGAGAAGAAAUAAAAUUUUACGAAACAAAGAACAACUCUUAGCAACGGAUAUCUUGGUUCUC